AUUUCCUUCUUAAAUUUUAAAUUCUAUCCUUCAUUUUAAAACCUCAUUUGUUUGUGGUUUCAACUUAGACUUGUUUUAAUGAGUAGAAACUUUGUCCUUAUGCCAUUGAUUUUCAAAUAUUUUCUUAAUCAAAAUUGUAAUUAAACUUAAUCAUAUUGACUUUAAUUUCAAAAAGACAAAAAAAAAAUUAACAACCUCAUAUAAUCCUUUUGGCCAUUUUGUGCCUUUUGCUUUUAAACUUUUC
This 244-nucleotide long non-coding RNA is filed under the name Lathyrus oleraceus (garden pea). RNAcentral describes it as "Pisum sativum (pea) long non-coding RNA (PSAT_LNC003468)". The record is from RNAcentral. Lineage: Eukaryota; Viridiplantae; Streptophyta; Magnoliopsida; Fabales; Fabaceae.